GCUCUGUGGAUCCUCUGUGUCCCGUCUCUUUCUUGUCUUCUCGGGUUAAUGCGUUUACCAUCGUCAGCGCACACACAAAGGCCUCGGCUCAGGAGACUGUAUCACGAGAGGCUACAAAGAAGUGUAAGAUGUCUGUGUGUGUGCGUGGCUGCGUCCAUGGAAAAGCUGAGCCUAUCAUCUGCCGACUCCUGCUGCUGACCAGCUGAUACACAUCACCUGAGUCUUUUCUAGUCCUGCUGCAUUCUGUCCUCAAACCCAGCUGCUUAGAGCUCAGCAGCGAACGCGUUACCGUGUUUUUAAGAAAUCACCGUGCACACAGUCCAUUACUUAACCACAAGGCUGCGGCUAAUUGCUUCAGUGUGUCCGUGUGCACGUGACUCAGGACAGCAGCAGCCGGUUGGGCGAAGAAGAAGUCGGCAUAAACACUUGGAGAGGCCUGAACGGUGCGAGGAUGUGCUCCACUGACCCGAGGCUACGAGGAAAUAACAGCGCAGUUUACUUGACAUCAGUCGGGGAACUUUGGUGACCUCAGGAACAGAAGUAGAACCAAAAACCAUCUAAUUAUCAAAGCAGGCUCAGACGGGACAACUAAAAUGAUUUACUUACUCCACUCUUUGUUCUUUACUGUGUAUUUACAUCCACAGCCUUGCAUGUAUCUACUUAUGCAGUAAAUUGAUUUAACGCAUAUGUUUUUAUUCUGAAAACACUAACUGUAUUGUUAUAGUAACACAUUCUUGCACAGAAAUAAAAUGCAGUCAUGGCAGAAAGCUAAAAGCGCUGCACUCCUUUUUGGCCUCUCACAUCUGGAAGCUGAACAAGCUGAUCUGUUGUCCACUGGGGAGACCCACCGAGGAGCCGGGGGUUAAUAACCCACUUGGUCAGUGGCAAAGUGAGGUCAGAGUCACA
Mugil cephalus (flathead mullet) is the source of this 906-nucleotide long non-coding RNA. RefSeq lists it as uncharacterized. The record is from RefSeq and is a predicted model, not a curated record. NCBI's taxonomy places the organism in Eukaryota, Metazoa, Chordata, Actinopteri, Mugiliformes, Mugilidae. The transcript has 3 exons.